CGAACGGCAGCCACCCGUAAAACACAUUAAUGAGUGGUGGAUACAGUGUUGCAAUCCUUAAUAGGAGACCCACGACCCCCUUGUGUGUUGAAAUUCACUGUUCGUAAAACUACCAUAUGAAUGCUCGCGGUUUUUGUGCCGAUAGCGCAUGAACGCUCUCUUCUAAACAGAACAUAGAAUACAGAUAGAUUCCUGCAGUCUUAAGGGCAACAAUAUCAC
Non-coding RNA from Pelobates cultripes (western spadefoot toad), 219 nucleotides. The record is from the annotation of a GenBank genome assembly. NCBI's taxonomy places the organism in Eukaryota, Metazoa, Chordata, Amphibia, Anura, Pelobatidae.